RNAcentral lists this ribosomal RNA (321 nucleotides) under uncultured microorganism. RNAcentral's name for it is "bacterial SSU rRNA". It matches the Rfam family "Archaeal small subunit ribosomal RNA", at positions 330 to 606 of the family's 1478-position model. The record is from RNAcentral.
GUGCAGCAGUCGCGAAACCUUCGCAAUGCAGGAAACUGCGACGAGGGAACUCCAAGUGCCUACGCUCAGCGUAGGCUGUUCUCAAGCCUAGAAAGCUUGAGGAGUAAGGGCUGGGGUAAGACGGGUGCCAUCUGUGGUAGCAGUCAAUAGAUUCGAUUUGUUACUGCAAGGCAUAAGCCGCCGCGGUAAUACCCGCAGCCCAAGUGGUGGCCGCUUUUAUUGGGCCUAAAGCGUCCGUAGCCGGCCCGGUAAAUGCCUGGGUAAAUCGUGGAGCCCAACUUCACGAAUUCCGGGUAGACUGCCGAGCUCGGGACCGGAAGA